Molecule: RNA transcript, 1227 nt
Organism: Triticum aestivum (bread wheat)
Lineage: Eukaryota; Viridiplantae; Streptophyta; Magnoliopsida; Poales; Poaceae
Gene name: zinc finger A20 and AN1 domain-containing stress-associated protein 8-like
Exons: 4
Source: RefSeq, a predicted model, not a curated record
AUGAAGGUCUACAAGGAGCUCCAAACGAACAAGCUCGAGAUGAAGGAGGCCGUAAAAAGGAAGAAGCUCGAGAUUGAGAAGGCUGUCCAAACGAAGAAGCUCGAGAUUGAGGCAAUCAGCACGAACACCAAAGCAAAAGAGGUGGCGCUAGCUUUCAUUGCGAAGGACAAUAGCGAGAAAAGAAGAGUGAGCCGGCGGCGAGGAUUCGAAGGAAUCACGGCGACGGAGCAGAUCGAGGAGGGAGAGAGACGAGGGUAGGCAGCGCAGGGAUCGCCGGAGAGGAAUCGCGACGAGGGCUUCCUCCUAUCAGUCAUGGAGCACAAGGAGACCGGCUGCCAGUCUCGUGAGGGCCCCAUCCUUUGCGUCAAUAACUGCGGCUUCUUCGGCAGUGCGGCGACCAUGAACAUGUGCUCCAAGUGCCACAAGGAGAUGGCGAUGAAGCAGGAGCAGGCCAAGCUGGCCGCCUCCUCUUUUGACAGCAUCGUCAACGGUGGUGAUGCCGCGAAAGAACAUCUUGCUGCUGGCAACACGGCGGUGGCAGUUGCUCACGUAGAGGCGAAGACGCUUAUUACCGCACAGCCUGCUGAUAUCGCCGGUCCCAGCGAGGCGGCGAUGGAGAACCCCAAAGGCCCAAGCCGGUGCAGCACCUGCAGAAAGAGGGUCGGGCUGACCGGAUUCAACUGCCGGUGCGGGAACCUCUACUGCGCGACGCACCGUUACUCGGACAAGCAUGAGUGCAAGUUUGACUACCGCGCCGCGGCCAUGGACGCCAUCGCCAAGGCCAACCCGGUGGUGAAGGCGGAGAAGCUCGACAAGAUCUAGGAAGGGCCCCCCUACGGUCGGCAGAACAUAAGGUCCCAAAUCAAAUCUGCGCUACCUCGUCAUCGUGCGUCUUUGCUGCAUUAUCCUUUCAUCAUGUUGGCUUCUGCAAUCCUAGUUGUUGUUGGGCAAUCGUGAUGCACGGCACACGCGCCUCGGCGGCAGCCCCAGGUCCGAACGGUCUCCUUGUUGGCUAUGUUGUGUAAGCUUUAUUUAUGGUCGUCUCUCUGCGCGGCGGAACGGUAACGGUAUUGUGGCUUUCGCAUUUUGGCUAGCACUCUGUAAUGUACUCCUGUUUCCUCCUGGUGUCCGUCUGUCUGUCUGUCUUACAGUCGCAACCGGUAAUGGUAUCGAGUAAGCGUCGUCGUCUGUUAUUAUGGUAUAUCCAUGGUCUUUCCCCCUUGUCAA